CUCUUGGAUCUCUGGACUCCAUUAAUAAUAUUAUGGAUUACUCUUCCCCCUUGCAUUUACAUGGCUCCGAUGAAUCAGUCUCAAGUUUUAAUGAGUGGAUCCCCUUUGGAACUAAACAGUCUGGGUGAAGAACAGCGAAUUUUGAACCGCUCCAAAAGAGGCUGGGUUUGGAAUCAAAUGUUUGUCCUGGAAGAGUUUUCUGGACCUGAACCGAUUCUUGUUGGCCGGCUACACACAGACCUGGAUCCUGGGAGCAAAAAAAUCAAGUAUAUCCUAUCAGGUGAUGGAGCUGGGACCAUAUUUCAAAUAAAUGAUGUAACUGGAGAUAUCCAUGCUAUAAAAAGACUUGACCGGGAGGAAAAGGCUGAGUAUACCCUAACAGCUCAAGCAGUGGACUGGGAGACAAGCAAACCUCUGGAGCCUCCUUCUGAAUUUAUUAUUAAAGUUCAAGACAUCAAUGACAACGCACCAGAGUUUCUUAAUGGACCCUAUCAUGCUACUGUGCCAGAAAUGUCCAUUUUGGGUAUGUAUGCUUCCAAUUUCACAGAACUAUUAAAAGUCAUCUUUAGAAU
RNAcentral lists this small RNA (572 nucleotides) under Pongo abelii (Sumatran orangutan). Its description in RNAcentral is "retained intron". The record is from RNAcentral. Lineage: Eukaryota; Metazoa; Chordata; Mammalia; Primates; Hominidae.